RNAcentral lists this ribosomal RNA (552 nucleotides) under Vibrio parahaemolyticus. RNAcentral's name for it is "partial 23S ribosomal RNA". It matches the Rfam family "Bacterial large subunit ribosomal RNA", at positions 2397 to 2925 of the family's 2925-position model. The record is from RNAcentral. Lineage: Bacteria; Pseudomonadati; Pseudomonadota; Gammaproteobacteria; Vibrionales; Vibrionaceae.
GUGCGAAAGCAGGUCAUAGUGAUCCGGUGGUUCUGAAUGGAAGGGCCAUCGCUCAACGGAUAAAAGGUACUCCGGGGAUAACAGGCUGAUACCGCCCAAGAGUUCAUAUCGACGGCGGUGUUUGGCACCUCGAUGUCGGCUCAUCACAUCCUGGGGCUGAAGUCGGUCCCAAGGGUAUGGCUGUUCGCCAUUUAAAGUGGUACGCGAGCUGGGUUUAGAACGUCGUGAGACAGUUCGGUCCCUAUCUGCCGUGGGCGUUGGAAGAUUGAAGGGGGCUGCUCCUAGUACGAGAGGACCGGAGUGGACGAACCUCUGGUGUUCGGGUUGUGUCGCCAGACGCAUUGCCCGGUAGCUAAGUUCGGAAUCGAUAACCGCUGAAAGCAUCUAAGCGGGAAGCGAGCCCUGAGAUGAGUCUUCCCUGAUACUUUAAGUAUCCUAAAGGGUUGUCGGAGACUACGACGUUGAUAGGUCAGGUGUGUAAGUGCUGUGAGGCAUUGAGCUAACUGAUACUAAUUGCCCGUGAGGCUUAACCAUACAACACCCAAGGGGUUU